This 75-nucleotide transfer RNA is filed under the name Silene noctiflora (night-flowering catchfly). Its description in RNAcentral is "tRNA-Met". It matches the Rfam family "tRNA". From Rfam's summary of the family: Transfer RNA (tRNA) molecules are approximately 80 nucleotides in length. Their secondary structure includes four short double-helical elements and three loops (D, anti-codon, and T loops). Further hydrogen bonds mediate the characteristic L-shaped molecular structure. tRNAs have two regions of fundamental functional importance: the anti-codon, which is responsible for specific mRNA codon recognition, and the 3' end, to which the tRNAs corresponding amino acid is attached (by aminoacyl-tRNA synthetases). tRNAs cope with the degeneracy of the genetic code in two manners: having more than one tRNA (with a specific anti-codon) for a particular amino acid; and 'wobble' base-pairing, i.e. permitting non-standard base-pairing at the 3rd anti-codon position. The record is from RNAcentral. Lineage: Eukaryota; Viridiplantae; Streptophyta; Magnoliopsida; Caryophyllales; Caryophyllaceae.
AGCGAGGUGGAGAAAAAGGAAGAACUCAUUAGGCUCAUGACCUGAAGACUGCAGGUUCAAACCCUGCCCUCGCCA